Molecule: long non-coding RNA, 928 nt
Filed under: Homo sapiens (human)
Lineage: Eukaryota; Metazoa; Chordata; Mammalia; Primates; Hominidae
Description: long non-coding RNA NONHSAT103658.2
Source: RNAcentral
UGUGAUAGUCCUUGGGCUGUAUAUUUAUGUUACCUACAAAAAACCAGUGUGAAUUGGGGAUCCUCUACACAAGCCCUGACUUACCUGAAUGCACUGCAGCAUUCAAUUCGUCUUUCUGGAGUGGAAGACCACGUGAAAAACUUUAGCCACAGUGUCUUGUUAUGACAGGUGCUCCAAACUCACGUCCAGCUUUACUUCAUCUUGUUCAUGAUUUCACAAAAAAUGUUGGUUUGAUGAUCUGUGGCCAUGUACAUAUGGUCCUCGAAGACAAGCCAUGAAAGAGAUGUCCAUCGAUCAAGCCAAAUAUCAGCGAUGGCUUAUUAAGAACAAAAUGAAGGCAUUUUAUGCUCCAGUACAUGCAGAUGACUUGAGAGAAGGUGCACAGUAUUUGAUGCAGCUGCUGGUCUUGGUCGUAUGAAGCCAAACACACUUGUCCUUGGAUUUAAGAAAGAUUGGUUGCAAGCAGAUAUGAGGGAUGUGGAUAUGUAUAUAAACUUAUUUCAGAUGCUUUUGACAUACAAUAUGGAGUAGUGGUUAUUCGCCUAAAAGAAGGUCUGGAUAUAUCUCAUCUUCAAGGACAAGAGAAUUAUUGUCAUCACAAGAGAAAUCUCCUGGCACCAAGGAUGUGGUAGUAAGUGUGGAAUAUAGUAAAAAGUCCGAUUUAGAUACUUCCAAACCACUCAGUGAAAAACCAAUUACACACAAAGAUCCAAAGGCCCUAUUGUGCCUUUAAAUGUAGCUGACCAAAAGCUUCUUGAAGCUAGUACACAGUUUCAGAAAAAACAAGGAAAGAAUACUAUUGAUGUCUGGUGGCUUUUUGAUGAUGGAGUUUGACCUUAUUGAUACCUUACCUUCUGACGACCAAGAAAAAAUGGAAAGACUGUAAGAUCAGAGUAUUCAUUGGUGGAAAGAUAAACAGAAUAGACCA